Molecule: unclassified non-coding RNA, 195 nt
Filed under: soil metagenome
Description: partial internal transcribed spacer 1
Source: RNAcentral
CCAAAAGGCGAGAAAUCGCUUUUCAACCCGUUAGGUGGCCCUCCUGGGCUGCUGAACCGGCCAACCCUUUGUGAACCAAAAAAGCCUUUCGCUUCGGCAGCUGGGCCUGACCGCCUGUCAGCCUGCCGCUAGCACCAACCUUCAAACCUGUUGUCAAACAUUGUCUGAUAACCAAAAUUUUCGAAUGAAAAUCAA